RNAcentral lists this ribosomal RNA (496 nucleotides) under uncultured bacterium. RNAcentral's name for it is "partial 16S ribosomal RNA". It matches the Rfam family "Bacterial small subunit ribosomal RNA", at positions 29 to 507 of the family's 1533-position model. The record is from RNAcentral.
ACGAACGCUGGCGGCGUGCCUAAUACAUGCAAGUUGAGCGCUGAAGGUUGGUACUUGUACCAACUGGAUGAGCAGCGAACGGGUGAGUAACGCGUGGGGAAUCUGCCUUUGAGCGGGGGACAACAUUUGGAAACGAAUGCUAAUACCGCAUAAAAACUUUAAACACAAGUUUUAAGUUUGAAAGAUGCAAUUGCAUCACUCAAAGAUGAUCCCGCGUUGUAUUAGCUAGUUGGUGAGGUAAAGGCUCACCAAGGCGAUGAUACAUAGCCGACCUGGGAGGGUGAUCGGCCACAUUGGGACUGAGACACGGCCCAAACUCCUACGGGAGGCAGCAGUAGGGAAUCUUCGGCAAUGGACGAAAGUCUGACCGAGCAACGCCGCGUGAGUGAAGAAGGUUUUCGGAUCGUAAAACUCUGUUGGUAGAGAAGAACGUUGGUGAGAGUGGAAAGCUCAUCAAGUGACGGUAACUACCCAGAAAGGGACGGCUAACUACGUG